CAGCAACAGCCGCAAGCUUUGUCAGUGGAAAUAUUUGUAUGUCUUGCGUCUUUGUUGGUGGUUGUGUAUGUGAACUCUGGAUGGCGCGAAAUGUUUGUUUACAUGGUUUUGCGCUGUUACAAGCAAAAUUGUGUCAAAAGAUUUAUGAAAAAUGACUAGGAAAGCGGAAACAGUAUUUUGUGUGUCAGCCAAAGUGGUUGUUCACCCAAUAUAAAAAUUUUCCCUUUCACAGUCUUGGAUCAGAAUGGAUGUGUAUCCAGAAGCCGAAACCGAAACGACACUAGAUUUGAAAAAUUUCACGUGCCGAAGUGAAGAAACAAAACAAAGUGUUAUCCAUCAAAUUGACAAGGAAUCUUCGAGCAAGCUUUGCUCAGCACAGGUAGUUUUAAAUUUGGCAGUUGCUGUUAAAGAACUUGUUGAAAAUAGUUUGGACGCUGGUGCACGCAAUAUAGAUGUAUUUUUGAAAGACUAUGGAAGUGAUACAAUAGAAGUCUGUGAUGAUGGAUCGGGCGUCGUUGAAAGAGAUUUUCAGGCUUUGACCCUGAAACACCAUACCUCUAAACUAAUGGAUUACUCAGAAUUAAGUUUUGUUGAAACCUUUGGGUUUCGUGGAGAAGCACUGAACUCUUUGUGUGCCCUUGGUGACUUGACAAUUUUAACACGCCACAGUAGUGCCAGUUGUGCAACAAGACUGGAAUUUGACCAUAAUGGACACAUAACAAUGCAAACACCAUGUGCUCGUCAGGUAGGGACAACGGUCUGCAUCAAGAACCUAUUUGUAACAUUUCCUGUGAGACAUAAGGACUUCCAGCGCAACUUGCGUAAAGAAUUCAGCAAAAUGGUGCAGAUUCUACAUGCUUAUUGUCUCAUCUCCACCGGUGUAAGGAUCACAUGUACAAACCAGCCAAAGAAGGGUAGCCGCACUAUUGUUGUUAGUACUCAGGGAAGCAAUACUAUAUCUGAAAACAUUACCUGCAUAUUUGGUUCAAAACAGGUUCAUGGACUUAUGAAGUUAUCUCAAGUAAAACCAAGUGUAGAAAUUCUGCAGAGCUUAGGCCUCUCUGAAAAACUUGCUGAUGCAGAUUACCCAUUCACACUGGAGGGCCUUGUAUCGUCAUGCUCUCAUGGGGAAGGCAGAUCAGCUCCUGACAGACAGUUUUAUUAUGUGAACUCUAGGCCAUGUGAGCCAGCACAGGUGAUGAAAGUAGUGAAUGAUGUUUAUCAUGUGUUCAACAAAAAGCAGUACCCAUUUGUUUUUAUGAAUAUAAAAAUGGAGAAAGAUAAUGUUGAUGUGAAUCUAACUCCUGACAAGAGGCAAGUUUUGCUGAACCAAGAAAAACUUCUAUUGGCAUCUAUAAAGGGAUCAUUGCUGAAACUAUAUGAGUCGGUUCCUUCAACACUCAAGGUGAAUAACGUACCAUCUUUUACACAAUCUCCUACAUCAUCACCAUCAUCAGAAUCACCUCUAUCAAGGUUAGAUAUCAUACAACAGUGGCGCCGUUCUCCAAGCAGUGAUUCUGGGUCCCCAGUGAGUGGUGUUGGUUCUCCUUCAAGUAACUAUAGUUCUCCAGGAGGAGCCAUUGGAUCUCCAGGAACUCUUGGGUCAUCAAAGAGAGGCAUUAAAAGGACUCUUGAGAUUAUUCGCCAAGAUAAAUAUGGCCGAUCAAAACAGCAUUGUCUGAACAACUACUUUACACAUAUGAGUGUGAAAAAAACAGGUGUAUCUGAAGUAGUAGACACAGCUGCACAAGCACACACCAAAAAGGGAAAUGAUGACAACAGUUUUGAAAGGAAUGUGUACUCAUUCAGCAGAACUGUGUCUGUCCUUUCUGAUGAGUCACCUGAAUCUAUUAAAACUCCUUUUGAAUAUGGAGAAGAAUCUGAGGAACAGAAUCUAAACAGUAUAGUGUCUACAUUCAGUCGUACUACAUCUGUUUCCUCUGCAGCUGAAAGUAAAAACAGUGUGUCAGAUAGAAUCCAGACAUUUUCAGAAAAUGUGAAUCUAAUCAGUGAGGAUUAUUUAGAGCAAAGAACUUGUGUGACCAGGAGAACUACAAAUAAGACUCCUGAUGUGGAAACUGAAAUAUUUGUUGGUAGUAGUAAUAAUGUUACUUCAGAAGAACCCAGACCUGUAGAUGUUACAAGUGAGAUAAACUCUAUAGAUGAAGGAGUGAUCAUUACAGAAGAUGAAGUAGGUGACCAUGAAUUUGUCACUUCUGAAGUUACUUAUGUAUCGGAACCUAUUAGAUGGAAUGUUGAUUUAAAUUCCAUUACUGAAGAAAUGGAAGCUUUUAAACAGUUGUCCAAGUCUACAGCAGAUGCAGAAUGUAACUUUAAAUUCAAAGCUGAAAUUGAUCCAGCGCAGAACUCUCUUGCAGAACAAGAGCUUAGGAGAGAGAUUACAAAAGACAUGUUUGCUAAGAUGAAAAUAAUUGGGCAGUUUAAUAAAGGUUUCAUUAUAACACAUUUGGAUUCCGAUCUCUUCAUCAUUGAUCAGCAUGCAUCAGAUGAAAUUUACAAUUUUGAAAUGUUGCAAAAAACUGUAUCACUUCAAAACCAGAAACUUGUUGUGAGCCUGGAUGUUUACCAUCUAAAUACUGGCAUUACAUACACCUUGGUACUCAAACCUCAGUCCACUGGCACAUAAAAGGCACAGAAACAGCACAGGAACUAACCUCAAACACCUCAGUAUCAGAAACAGCAAGCCAACUGACCAAUGACAAUACAAAUUCAUUGAAGGUCUGUGGAAUUAUACAGCAAACAUCAACCACUGUGGGCCACCAGUUCAUCAGUAUAGGCCACAGAAGUUAGAUCUCACUUAUAUUAAGGAAUGUUUACUCAUUGAAAAUUUGGACAUUUUCAAUAGAAAUGGUUUUGAAUUUAUUAUUGAUGAAACAGCUGAACCAACAAAGAGGGUGAAACUGA
This 2925-nucleotide unclassified non-coding RNA is filed under the name Schistocerca americana (American grasshopper). Its description in RNAcentral is "mismatch repair endonuclease PMS2, transcript variant X2". The record is from RNAcentral. Lineage: Eukaryota; Metazoa; Arthropoda; Insecta; Orthoptera; Acrididae.